Molecule: ribosomal RNA, 720 nt
Filed under: uncultured Chitinophaga sp.
Lineage: Bacteria; Pseudomonadati; Bacteroidota; Chitinophagia; Chitinophagales; Chitinophagaceae
Description: bacterial SSU rRNA
Rfam family: Bacterial small subunit ribosomal RNA
Source: RNAcentral
CAUCUAGAUUAGGGUUUGAUCCUGGCUCAAAUGAACGCUAGCGGCAGGCCUAAUACAUGCAAGUCGAGGGGCAGCAGGGGUAGCAAUACUCGCUGGCGACCGGCAAACGGGUGCGGAACACGUACGCAACCUUCCUUUAAGCGGGGAAUAGCCCAGAGAAAUUUGGAUUAAUACCCCAUAAGAAUGUGAUCUGGCAUCAGGUAACGUUUAAAGAUUUAUCACUUAAAGAUGGGCGUGCGUCUGAUUAGGUAGUUGGUGAGGUAACGGCUCACCAAGCCGACGAUCAGUAACUGGCGUGAGAGCGCGACCAGUCACGCGGGCACUGAGACACGGGCCCGACUCCUACGGGAGGCAGCAGUAAGGAAUAUUGGUCAAUGGACGCAAGUCUGAACCAGCCAUGCCGCGUGGAGGAUGAAGGCCCUCUGGGUUGUAAACUUCUUUUAUCUGGGACGAAACACUUCUUUUCUAACGAGCUUGACGGUACCAGGUGAAUAAACACCGGCUAACUCCGUGCCACCAGCCGCGGUAAUACGGAGGGUGCAAGCGUUAUCCGGAUUCACUGGGUUUAAAGGGUGCGUAGGCGGACAUGGAAGUCCGUGGUGAAAUCUCCGAGCUUAACUCGGAGCUGCCAUGGAUACUAUAUGUCUUGAAUGUUGUGGAGGUUAGCGGAAUAUGUCAUGUAUCGGUGAAAUGCAUAGAUAUGACAUAAAACACCAAUUG